UACGGGGGGGGCAAGCGUUGUUCGGAAUUACUGGGCGUAAAGAGCGUGUAGGCGGCCAUGCAGGUCCGUUGUGAAAACUCGAGGCUCAACCUCGAGACGUCGAUGGAAACCGCAUGGCUAGAGUCCGGAAGAGGAGAGUGGAAUUCCUGGUGUAGCGGUGAAAUGCGCAGAUAUCAGGAAGAACACCCGUGGCGAAGGCGGCUCUCUGGGACGGUACUGACGCUGAGACGCGAAAGCGUGGGGAGCAAACAGG
Molecule: ribosomal RNA, 253 nt
Filed under: uncultured bacterium
Lineage: Bacteria
Description: partial 16S ribosomal RNA
Rfam family: Bacterial small subunit ribosomal RNA
Source: RNAcentral